CAGUUUGGGAUACUGAGGAGUAACCGGGACGAGGAGGAGGCCGAGGGUUUUGUGACGAAGGAGCUGUUUCCGGCUGCGGCGUCGUCGUCGUCGUCGUCGUCGUCGAGGGCGGCGCAUUGGGCGGAUCUAGGGUUGCAGCACGUGCAGGCGACGGGGCAGCACGUGAUGCCGCAACACCAAGGGAAGAAGAACAAGUGAGGGCUGAGGUCGAGGAGCUCGUAGUAUAGAGGGGUUACUUUUUGUAGAAGGAUCGGGAGAUGGGAGUCUCAUAUUUGGGACUGUGACAAGCAGGUCUAUUUAGGAGGAUUUGACACUGCUCACGCUACUGCAAGGCAUAUGAUCGUUCUGGAAUAUAGUUUCAAGGUGUUGAUGCUGAUAUCAACUUCAAUCUAAGUGACAAUGAUGAGGAUCUGAAGCAGAUGAGGAACUUGACCAAGGAGGAAUUUGUUCACAUACUUCAUUGAUAGAGCACUGGGUUUUCAAGAGGAAGCUCAAAAUACUGAGGGGUUACUCUUCAUAAAUGUGGUCGAUGGGAGACUCGGAUGGGCCAAUUCCUUGGCAAGAAGUACAUAUACCUUGGGUUAUUCAACAGCGAAAUAGAAGCUGCAAGGCUUAUGACAAAGCGGCUAUCGAAUGUAAUGGAAGAGAAGCUGUUACUAAUUUUGAGCCUAGUUCUUAUGAAGGGGAAAUGCUUCCUGAGCCCGAUAGUGAAGCAAUUUGUAGCUUUCAUGAUGCUCGAACAACAGAAUUGGUGACUGCUGCUUAUCCUGCAUUGGAUGAGCUCACUUCGAAGGGCUAGGUACCAUUUGAUGACAAUAGAUAGAAGUGAAGGAAUUAUGAAGAUACUGCGAAGAACCAGUACAGAUUGAGCGGACAAGAAGUAAAAUUCAAGCAGCUAAACAUCCAUGUUUGGGAAGCCUUGAGAAGGGGUAAGAUAUCACAAGCAGCGGAGUAGAGGAUAGAAAAAUAUAAAAAGAUUAUAAAUAUACCUCCUUUACUUCCCAUUUUAAAUAAAUAUAUAAAGAGAAAAUU
Molecule: long non-coding RNA, 1032 nt
Organism: Asparagus officinalis (garden asparagus)
Lineage: Eukaryota; Viridiplantae; Streptophyta; Magnoliopsida; Asparagales; Asparagaceae
Exons: 10
Source: RefSeq, a predicted model, not a curated record